Molecule: ribosomal RNA, 253 nt
Filed under: uncultured bacterium
Lineage: Bacteria
Description: partial 16S ribosomal RNA
Rfam family: Bacterial small subunit ribosomal RNA
Source: RNAcentral
GACAGAGGUUGCAAACGUUGUUCGGAAUUACUGGGCAUAAAGCGCACGUAGGUGGUCCGCUAAGUCGAUUGUGAAAUUCCCCGGCUCAACCGGGGAACGGCAAACGAUACUGGCGGGCUUGAGGUCCGGAGGGGUGAGUGGAACUCCUGGUGGAGCGGUGAAAUGCGUAGAUAUCAGGAGGAACACCGGUGGCGAAAGCGGCUCACUGGCCGGAAUCUGACACUGAGGUGCGAAAGCGUGGGGAGCGAACAGG